GAUGAACGCUGGCGGCGUGCUUAACACAUGCAAGUCGAACGGAAAGGCUCCUGCUUGCAGGGGUACUCGAGUGGCGAACGGGUGAGUAACACGUGGGUGAUCUGCCCAGCACUUCGGGAUAAGCCUGGGAAACUGGGUCUAAUACCGGAUAGGACGAUGGUUUGGAUGCCAUUGUGGAAAGUUUUUUCGGUAUGGGAUGAGUUCGCGGCCUAUCAGCUUGUUGGUGGGGGAAUGGCCUACCAAGGCGUCGACGGGUAGCCGGCCUGAGAGGGUGUACGGCCACAUUGGGCCUGAGAUAGGGACCAGACUCCUACGGGAGGCAGCAGUGGGGAAUAUUGCACAAUGGGCGCAAGCCUGAUGCAGAGACGCCGCGUGGGGGAUGACGGCCUUCGGGUUGUAAACUCCUUUCGCUAGGGACGAAGCGCAAGUGACGGUACCUGGAGAAGAAGCACCGGCUAACUACGUG
This 466-nucleotide ribosomal RNA is filed under the name uncultured bacterium. RNAcentral's name for it is "partial 16S ribosomal RNA". It matches the Rfam family "Bacterial small subunit ribosomal RNA", at positions 28 to 507 of the family's 1533-position model. The record is from RNAcentral.